RNAcentral lists this ribosomal RNA (274 nucleotides) under uncultured bacterium. RNAcentral's name for it is "partial 16S ribosomal RNA". It matches the Rfam family "Bacterial small subunit ribosomal RNA", at positions 523 to 796 of the family's 1533-position model. The record is from RNAcentral.
AGACGAACCGUCCAAACGUUAUUCGGAAUCACUGGGCUUAAAGGGUGCGUGGGCGGCCUUGUAAGUCGGGUGUGAAAGCCCACGGCUCAACCGUGGAAUUGCGCCCGAUACUGUAAGGCUAGAGGGAGAUAGAGGUGAGUGGAACUAAUGGUGGAGCGGUGAAAUGCGUUGAUAUCAUUGGGAACACCGGUGUCGAAGGCGACUCACUGGAUCUCUUCUGACGCUGAGGCACGAAAGCUAGGGUAGCGAACGGGAUUAGAAACCCUUGUAGUCC